Molecule: ribosomal RNA, 472 nt
Filed under: uncultured bacterium
Lineage: Bacteria
Description: bacterial SSU rRNA
Rfam family: Bacterial small subunit ribosomal RNA
Source: RNAcentral
UGGGGAAUUUUGGACAAUGGGGGCAACCCUGAUCCAGCCAUGCCGCGUGAGUGAAGAAGGCCUUCGGGUUGUAAAGCUCUUUCGGCGGGGACGAAACGGUUCGUGCCAACAUCACGGACUAAUGACGGUACUCGCAGAAGAAGCACCGGCUAACUACGUGCCAGCAGCCGCGGUAAUACGUAGGGUGCAGGCGUUAAUCGGAAUUACUGGGCGUAAAGCGUGCGCAGGCGGCUCCUUAAGUCAGAUGUGAAAGCCCCGGGCUUAACCUGGGAACUGCGUUUGAAACUGGGGAGCUAGAGUGUAGAAGAGGGGGGUGGAAUUCCAGGUGUAGCAGUGAAAUGCGUAGAGAUCUGGAGGAACACCGAUGGCGAAGGCGAGACUCUGGACGACAACUGACGCUGAGAGACGAAGGCCAGGGGAGCGAAAAGGAUUAGAUACCCCUGUAGUCCCUGAGCGGGCUGGCAAGGCGCAU